CACAGCAGUGUUUAUCGCUCCUUGCGUUUACAUAAUCAUUUGCAGGGUUGAGCCUGGUCAGUACCUGGAUGGGAGACCUCCUGGGAAAACUAGGCUGCUGUUGGAA
This 106-nucleotide ribosomal RNA is filed under the name Sinocyclocheilus anshuiensis. Lineage: Eukaryota; Metazoa; Chordata; Actinopteri; Cypriniformes; Cyprinidae. The record is from RNAcentral.